GUAAGCCUCACGAAGUCAGGGUAUGGAGUGGGGGCGAGGUGGGAGGUAUGAGGCAGGGCCCCCUCACCCCCAGCUUUCAGGUGAUUCUCCUCUCCUCUCAGGAGACCCCAGGGCUGCCUGCCCAGAGCCACACAUGCAUGGCCUCUGCCCAUCAUGGCCUGUCAUCCCUCCCUGCCCAGCCUUUAAUAUGCUCAGUCUCUUCAGUUGUGUCCAACUGAAUGGACUGUACCCUGCCAGGCUCCUCUGUCCAUAGGAUUCUCCAGAUCUCCAGCAGCUCAUGGAGUCCGGAAUGAAAUCAGUCCUCCAAGUAAUAACCAAGUGGAAGUGGACUCAAAAUGCUGAGUGUUUGUGUGUCUUCGGGGGACUGUUUCUCUGUUUUCCAAAGCAGGUCUCCUGCCCGGCAGCAAAGUUCCUUUUUAUUGGAGCUUCCCAGGUAGCACUAUUGGUAAAGAACCUGCCUGCCAACACAGAAGAUGUAGGAGAUGUGGGUUCAACCCCCGGAUUGGGAAGAUGCCCUGGAGAAGGACAUGGCAACCCACUCCAAUAUUCUUGCCUGGAGAGAGGACUCUGGCUGGCUACGGUCCAUGGGAUCGCAGAGUGGGACACGACUGAAACGAUAUUGAUCUGUUGGUAUUCUGUAUAUAUUCUGGAC
Molecule: long non-coding RNA, 652 nt
Organism: Bos taurus (domestic cattle)
Lineage: Eukaryota; Metazoa; Chordata; Mammalia; Artiodactyla; Bovidae
Source: Ensembl